RNAcentral lists this microRNA precursor (122 nucleotides) under Marmota monax (woodchuck). Lineage: Eukaryota; Metazoa; Chordata; Mammalia; Rodentia; Sciuridae. The record is from RNAcentral.
UGUUGAAGGAAAGAGGAGGAGGAGGAGUAAGGGAGGUGGAGGAGGAAGACUGUCUCCCUCCCUCCCUCCCUCCCUCCUUCCUUCCUAUCUUUCUUUCUCCUCCCUUCCUUUUCUUUCUUUCU